UAACACGUAUGUCAAUCUAACCUAUGGACGAGGAUAACCUCGGGAAACUGAGAAUAAUACUCGAUAGAUCAUUAUACCUGGAACGGUUUAUGGUCCAAAUGAUUCGUCGCUAUAGGAUGGGACUGCGGCCUAUCAGCUUGUUGGUGAGGUAAUGGCCCACCAAGGCUAUUACAGGUACGGGCUCUGAGAGGAGAAGCCCGGAGAUGGGUACUGAGACACGGACCCAGGUCCUAUGGGGCGCAGCAGGCGAGAAAACUUUGCAAUGUGCGCAAGCACGACAAGGUUAAUCCGAGUGAUUCCUGCUAAAGGAAUCUUUUGUUAGUUGUAAAACCACUGAUGAAUAAGGGGUGGGCAAGUUCUGGUGUCAGCCGCCGCGGUAAAACCAGCACCUCAAGUGGUCAGGAGGAUUAUUGGGCCUAAAGCAUCCGUAGCCUGCUUUGUAAGUUUUCGGUUAAAUCCAUCAGCUCAACUGAUGGGCCGCCGAAAAAACUGCAAANCUANGGAGUGGGAGAGGUANACGGUACUCGAUAG
This 531-nucleotide ribosomal RNA is filed under the name uncultured archaeon. RNAcentral's name for it is "bacterial SSU rRNA". It matches the Rfam family "Archaeal small subunit ribosomal RNA", at positions 94 to 625 of the family's 1478-position model. The record is from RNAcentral.